RNAcentral lists this transfer RNA (66 nucleotides) under Chironomus nippodorsalis. Its description in RNAcentral is "tRNA-Thr". It matches the Rfam family "tRNA". From Rfam's summary of the family: Transfer RNA (tRNA) molecules are approximately 80 nucleotides in length. The record is from RNAcentral. Lineage: Eukaryota; Metazoa; Arthropoda; Insecta; Diptera; Chironomidae.
AUUUAAAUAGUUUAAUAAAAACAUUGGUCUUGUAAACCAAAAAUAAGAAAUUUUUCUUUUUAAAUA